GCUCGCUAAAGUCAGGGGAAGGAGAGAAACAAUGGGGAAGGGAGCAUAACAUGGAUGUGGGGCACGAGAGGCCGUGGUCGGAGCGGCAUUGCAUGGGCAUAUUGGGUAUUAUUUGAGCUGAUACUCCAUUUUCUUACAAGAGAUGUGGUCCCGUCGAUGUUGGCUGUCGAAUUUGUGCUGCAGUCCAUGCCCACCACAUCCGAGU
Triticum dicoccoides is the source of this 205-nucleotide long non-coding RNA. RefSeq lists it as uncharacterized. The record is from RefSeq and is a predicted model, not a curated record. The transcript is spliced from 3 exons. NCBI's taxonomy places the organism in Eukaryota, Viridiplantae, Streptophyta, Magnoliopsida, Poales, Poaceae.